This 278-nucleotide ribosomal RNA is filed under the name uncultured prokaryote. RNAcentral's name for it is "partial 16S ribosomal RNA". It matches the Rfam family "Bacterial small subunit ribosomal RNA", at positions 524 to 801 of the family's 1533-position model. The record is from RNAcentral.
UACGUAGGGGGCGAGCGUUGUCCGGAAUUACUGGGCGUAAAGGGCGUGUAGGCGGCAAGAUAAGUCAGGUGUGAAAACUGUUGGCUCAACCAAGAGAUUGCACCUGAAACUGUCUAGCUUGAGGGUAGGAGAGGAAAGUGGAAUUCCUAGUGUAGCGGUGAAAUGCGUAGAUAUCGGGAGGAACACCGGUGGCGAAGGCGGCUUUCUGGACUGUAACUGACACUGAGGCACGAAAGCGUGGGGAGCAAACAGGAUUAGAUACCCCCGUAGUCCCUGAG